AGUGAACGCUGGCGGUAGGCCUAACACAUGCAAGUCGAACGGCAGCACAGGAGAGCUUGCUCUCUGGGUGGCGAGUGGCGGACGGGUGAGGAAUACAUCGGAAUCUGCCCAGUCGUGGGGGAUAACGUAGGGAAACUUACGCUAAUACCGCAUACGACCUUCGGGUGAAAGAGGGGGAUCGCAAGACCUCUCGCGAUUGGAUGAGCCGAUGUCGGAUUAGCUAGUUGGCGGGGUAAUGGCCCACCAAGGCGACGAUCCGUAGCUGGUCUGAGAGGAUGAUCAGCCACACUGGAACUGAGACACGGUCCAGACUCCUACGGGAGGCAGCAGUGGGGAAUAUUGGACUAUGGGCGCAAGCCUGAUCCAGCCAUACCGCGUGGGUGAAGAAGGCCUUCGGGUUGUAAAGCCCUUUUGUUGGGAAAGAAAUCUUUCAGGCUAAUACCCUGGGAGGAUGACGGUACCCAAAGAAUAAGCACCGGCUAACUUCGUG
RNAcentral lists this ribosomal RNA (490 nucleotides) under uncultured bacterium. RNAcentral describes it as "partial 16S ribosomal RNA". It matches the Rfam family "Bacterial small subunit ribosomal RNA", at positions 29 to 507 of the family's 1533-position model. The record is from RNAcentral.